Molecule: ribosomal RNA, 162 nt
Filed under: uncultured Trichoderma
Lineage: Eukaryota; Fungi; Ascomycota; Sordariomycetes; Hypocreales; Hypocreaceae
Description: 5.8S ribosomal RNA
Rfam family: 5.8S ribosomal RNA
About the family: 5.8S ribosomal RNA (5.8S rRNA) is a component of the large subunit of the eukaryotic ribosome. It is transcribed by RNA polymerase I as part of the 45S precursor that also contains 18S and 28S rRNA.
Source: RNAcentral
ACUUUCAACAACGGAUCUCUUGGUUCUGGCAUCGAUGAAGAACGCAGCGAAAUGCGAUAAGUAAUGUGAAUUGCAGAAUUCAGUGAAUCAUCGAAUCUUUGAACGCACGUUGCGCCCGCCAGUAUUCUGGCGGGCAUGCCUGUCCGAGCGUCAUUUCAACCC